RNAcentral lists this ribosomal RNA (988 nucleotides) under uncultured Actinomycetes bacterium. RNAcentral's name for it is "bacterial SSU rRNA". It matches the Rfam family "Bacterial small subunit ribosomal RNA", at positions 508 to 1504 of the family's 1533-position model. Lineage: Bacteria; Bacillati; Actinomycetota; Actinomycetes. The record is from RNAcentral.
CCAGCAGCCGCGGUAAUACGUAGGGUGCAAGCGUUGUCCGGAUUUAUUGGGCGUAAAGAGCUCGUAGGCGGUUAGUCACGUCGGAUGUGAAAACCCAGUGCUUAACACUGGGCCUGCAUUCGAUACGGGCUGACUAGAGUGUUGUAGGGGAGACUGGAACUCCUGGUGUAGCGGUGAAAUGCGCAGAUAUCAGGAAGAACACCGGUGGCGAAGGCGGGUCUCUGGGCAACUACUGACGCUGAGGAGCGAAAGCGUGGGGAGCAAACAGGAUUAGAUACCCUGGUAGUCCACGCCGUAAACGGUGGGCGCUAGGUGUGGGGAACAUUCCACGUUCUCCGUGCCGCAGCUAACGCAUUAAGCGCCCCGCCUGGGGAGUACGGCCGCAAGGCUAAAACUCAAAGGAUUGACGGGGGCCCGCACAAGCGGCGGAGCAUGCGGCUUAAUUCGAUGCAACGCGAAGAUCCUUACCUAGGCUUGACAGUUGGGGAAAUCUGGCAGAGAUGCCAGGUCCGUAAGGCCCCAAAACAGGUGGUGCAUGCUGUCGUCAGCUCGUGUCGUGAGAAUGUUGGGUUAGUCCCGCAACGAGCGCAACCCUCGUCGUAUGUUGCCGCGGAUAAUGGCGGGACUCAUAGAGACUGCCGGGUCAACUCGGAGGAAGGUGGGAGACGUCAAGUCAUCAUGCCCUUAUGUCUAGGGCUGCACGCAUGCUACAAUGGCCGGGUACAGAGGGCUGCGAUACCGCGAGGUGGAGCGAAUCCCAAAAAGCCGGUCUCAGUUCGGAUUGGGGUCUGCAACUCGACCCCAUGAAGUCGGAGUCGCUAGUAAUCGCAGAUCAGCAACGCUGCGGUGAAUACGUUCCCGGGCCUUGUACACACCGCCCGUCACGUCACGAAAGUCGGCAACACCCGAAGCCGGUGGCCUAACCCUUGUGGAAGGAGCCGUCGAAGGUGGGGCUGGUGAUUGGGGAAGUCGUAACAAGGUAGCCGAU